Molecule: ribosomal RNA, 2905 nt
Filed under: Klebsiella pneumoniae
Lineage: Bacteria; Pseudomonadati; Pseudomonadota; Gammaproteobacteria; Enterobacterales; Enterobacteriaceae
Description: 23S ribosomal RNA
Rfam family: Bacterial large subunit ribosomal RNA
Source: RNAcentral
GGGUUGUGAGGUUAAGCGACUAAGCGUACACGGUGGAUGCCCCGCAGUCAGAGGCGAUGAAGGACGUGCUAAUCUGCGAAAAGCGUCGGUAAGGUGAUAUGAACCGUUAUAACCGGCGAUGUCCGAAUGGGGAAACCCAGUGCAAUUCGUUGCACUAUCGUUAACUGAAUACAUAGGUUAACGAGGCGAACCGGGGAACUGAAACAUCUAAGUACCCCGAGGAAAAGAAAUCAACCGAGAUUCCCCAGUAGCGGCGAGCGAACGGGGAGCAGCCCAGAGUCUGAAUCAGCUUGUGUGUUAGUGGAACGGUCUGGAAAGUCCGACGGUACAGGGUGAUAGUCCCGUACACCAAAAUGCACAGGCUGUGAACUCGAAGAGUAGGGCGGGACACGUGGUAUCCUGUCUGAAUAUGGGGGGACCAUCCUCCAAGGCUAAAUACUCCUGACUGACCGAUAGUGAACCAGUACCGUGAGGGAAAGGCGAAAAGAACCCCGGCGAGGGGAGUGAAAAGAACCUGAAACCGUGUACGUACAAGCAGUGGGAGCACCUUCGGGUGUGACUGCGUACCUUUGUAUAAUGGGUCAGCGACUUAUAUUCUGUAGCAAGGUUAACCGUAUAGGGGAGCCGCAGGGAAACCGAGUCUUAACUGGGCGUUAAGUUGCAGGGUAUAGACCCGAAACCCGGUGAUCUAGCCAUGGGCAGGUUGAAGGUUGGGUAACACUAACUGGAGGACCGAACCGACUAAUGUUGAAAAAUUAGCGGAUGACUUGUGGCUGGGGUGAAAGGCCAAUCAAACCGGGAGAUAGCUGGUUCUCCCCGAAAGCUAUUUAGGUAGCGCCUCGUGAACUCAUCUUCGGGGUAGAGCACUGUUUCGGCUAGGGGUCAUCCCGACUUACCAACCCGAUGCAAACUACGAAUACCGAAGAAUGUUAUCACGGGAGACACACGGCGGGUGCUAACGUCCGUCGUGAAGAGGGAAACAACCCAGACCGCCAGCUAAGGUCCCAAAGUCAUGGUUAAGUGGGAAACGAUGUGGGAAGGCACAGACAGCCGGAUGUUGGCUUAGAAGCAGCCAUCAUUUAAAGAAAGCGUAAUAGCUCACUGGUCGAGUCGGCCUGCGCGGAAGAUGUAACGGGGCUAAACCAUGCACCGAAGCUGCGGCAGCGACACUAUGUGUUGUUGGGUAGGGAGCGUUCUGUAAGCCUGCGAAGGUGUGCUGUGAGGCAUGCUGGAGGUAUCAGAAGUGCGAAUGCUGACAUAAGUAACGAUAAAGCGGGUGAAAAGCCCGCUCGCCGGAAGACCAAGGGUUCCUGUCCAACGUUAAUCGGGGCAGGGUGAGUCGACCCUAAGGCGAGGCCGAAAGGCGUAGUCGAUGGGAAACAGGUUAAUAUUCCUGUACUUGGUGUUACUGCGAAGGGGACGGAGAAGGCUAUGUUAGCCGGGCGACGGUUGUCCCGGUUUAAGCAUGUAGGCUGGUUAUCCAGGCAAAUCCGGAUAAUCAAGGCUGAGGUGUGAUGACGAGGCACUACGGUGCUGAAGUAACAAAUGCCCUGCUUCCGUGAAAAGCCUCUAAGCAUCAGGUAACAUCAAAUCGUACCCCAAACCGACACAGGUGGUCAGGUAGAGAAUACCAAGGCGCUUGAGAGAACUCGGGUGAAGGAACUAGGCAAAAUGGUGCCGUAACUUCGGGAGAAGGCACGCUGGUGUGUAGGUGAAGUCCCUGCGGAUGGAGCUGAGACCAGUCGAAGAUACCAGCUGGCUGCAACUGUUUAUUAAAAACACAGCACUGUGCAAACACGAAAGUGGACGUAUACGGUGUGACGCCUGCCCGGUGCCGGAAGGUUAAUUGAUGGGGUUAUCCGUAAGGAGAAGCUCUUGAUCGAAGCCCCGGUAAACGGCGGCCGUAACUAUAACGGUCCUAAGGUAGCGAAAUUCCUUGUCGGGUAAGUUCCGACCUGCACGAAUGGCGUAAUGAUGGCUGUCUCCACCCGAGACUCAGUGAAAUUGAACUCGCUGUGAAGAUGCAGUGUACCCGCGGCAAGACGGAAAGACCCCGUGAACCUUUACUAUAGCUUGACACUGAACAUUGAGCCUUGAUGUGUAGGAUAGGUGGGAGGCUUUGAAGCGUGGACGCCAGUCUGCGUGGAGCCAACCUUGAAAUACCACCCUUUAAUGUUUGAUGUUCUAACGUUGGCCCCUGACCGGGGUUGCGGACAGUGUCUGGUGGGUAGUUUGACUGGGGCGGUCUCCUCCCAAAGCGUAACGGAGGAGCACGAAGGUUAGCUAAUCCUGGUCGGACAUCAGGAGGUUAGUGCAAUGGCAUAAGCUAGCUUGACUGCGAGCGUGACGGCGCGAGCAGGUGCGAAAGCAGGUCAUAGUGAUCCGGUGGUUCUGAAUGGAAGGGCCAUCGCUCAACGGAUAAAAGGUACUCCGGGGAUAACAGGCUGAUACCGCCCAAGAGUUCAUAUCGACGGCGGUGUUUGGCACCUCGAUGUCGGCUCAUCACAUCCUGGGGCUGAAGUAGGUCCCAAGGGUAUGGCUGUUCGCCAUUUAAAGUGGUACGCGAGCUGGGUUUAGAACGUCGUGAGACAGUUCGGUCCCUAUCUGCCGUGGGCGCUGGAGAAUUGAGGGGGGCUGCUCCUAGUACGAGAGGACCGGAGUGGACGCAUCACUGGUGUUCGGGUUGUCAUGCCAAUGGCACUGCCCGGUAGCUAAAUGCGGAAGAGAUAAGUGCUGAAAGCAUCUAAGCACGAAACUUGCCCCGAGAUGAGUUCUCCCUGAGACUUUAAGUCUCCUGAAGGAACGUUAAAGACGAUGACGUUGAUAGGCCGGGUGUGUAAGCGCAGCGAUGCGUUGAGCUAACCGGUACUAAUGAACCGUGAGGCUUAACCUUACAACGCCGAAG